UCUGCCCCUAGAAGGAUAUGGAUGAUUUGUCACAUGUGCAUUGGCAAAUGGCAAAGAGGAGAGAGGUCAUGUCUAACUCAGUGUUCUGACUAAUGAACAUCCGAAUGGUUCAUAGCCUAAUGUU
Rattus norvegicus (Norway rat) is the source of this 124-nucleotide small nucleolar RNA. Ensembl annotates it as small nucleolar RNA SNORA17. Lineage: Eukaryota; Metazoa; Chordata; Mammalia; Rodentia; Muridae. The record is from Ensembl.